AUACGUGGAGGGCAAGCGUUAUUCGGAAUCACUGGGCGUAAAGCGCGCGCAGGCGGGCUGAUAAGUUGGAUGUGAAAGCCUACGGCUCAACCGUAGAACUGCAUCCAAAACUGUCAGUCUAGGGUGUGGGAGAGGAAGAUGGAAUUAGUUGUGUAGGGGUAAAAUCCGUAGAGAUAACUAGGAAUACCAAAAGCGAAGGCAAUCUUCUGGAACACUACUGACGCUGAGGCGCGAAGGCGUGGGGAGCAAACAGGAUUAGAAACCCUAGUAGUCC
RNAcentral lists this ribosomal RNA (274 nucleotides) under uncultured bacterium. RNAcentral's name for it is "partial 16S ribosomal RNA". It matches the Rfam family "Bacterial small subunit ribosomal RNA", at positions 523 to 796 of the family's 1533-position model. The record is from RNAcentral.